Molecule: unclassified non-coding RNA, 199 nt
Filed under: Ascomycota sp.
Lineage: Eukaryota; Fungi; Ascomycota
Description: partial contains small subunit ribosomal RNA, internal transcribed spacer 1, and 5.8S ribosomal RNA
Rfam family: Eukaryotic small subunit ribosomal RNA (bases 1-47)
Source: RNAcentral
AAAGUCGUAACAAGGUCUCCGUAGGUGAACCUGCGGAGGGAUCAUUAGCGAAUGGCCCACUGGGCCUUCAAGCCCCACGUACCUGUGGAAGCUAGCAGUGCUUUGGCGCCCACGCCGGCGCCGCCCCCAUGCGGCCGACCAGUCUGUGUCUGAAUCGAACCUAGAAUUAAAACUUUCAACAAAGGAUCUCUUGGCUCUU